UUGACCUCNAAUCAGGUAGGACUACCCGCUGAACUUAAGCAUAUCAAUAAGCGGGAGGAAAAGAAACUAACAGGGAU
Molecule: ribosomal RNA, 77 nt
Filed under: Rhizopogon vulgaris
Lineage: Eukaryota; Fungi; Basidiomycota; Agaricomycetes; Boletales; Rhizopogonaceae
Description: partial 28S ribosomal RNA
Rfam family: Eukaryotic large subunit ribosomal RNA
Source: RNAcentral